AGCUGAUCCUCUUCGGAGGUGACGCUUGUGGAACGAGCGGCGGACGGGUGAGUAACACGUGGGCAACCUGCCUGUAAGACUGGGAUAACCCCGGGAAACCGGGGCUAAUACCGGAUAAUACUUUUCAUCACCUGAUGGGAAGUUGAAAGGUGGCUUUUAGCUACCACUUACAGAUGGGCCCGCGGCGCAUUAGCUAGUUGGUGAGGUAACGGCUCACCAAGGCAACGAUGCGUAGCCGACCUGAGAGGGUGAUCGGCCACACUGGGACUGAGACACGGCCCAGACUCCUACGGGAGGCAGCAGUAGGGAAUCUUCCGCAAUGGACGAAAGUCUGACGGAGCAACGCCGCGUGAGUGAUGAAGGUUUUCGGAUCGUAAAGCUCUGUUGUUAGGGAAGAACAAGUGCCGUUCGAAUAGGGCGGCACCUUGACGGUACCUAACCAGAAAGCCCCGGCUAACUACGUGCCAGCAGCCGCGGUAAUACGUAGGGGGCAAGCGUUGUCCGGAAUUAUUGGGCGUAAAGCGCGCGCAGGCGGUCCUUUAAGUCUGAU
RNAcentral lists this ribosomal RNA (550 nucleotides) under Virgibacillus halodenitrificans. Its description in RNAcentral is "bacterial SSU rRNA". It matches the Rfam family "Bacterial small subunit ribosomal RNA", at positions 60 to 593 of the family's 1533-position model. Lineage: Bacteria; Bacillati; Bacillota; Bacilli; Caryophanales; Bacillaceae. The record is from RNAcentral.